GACCCUCGGCCUGCCGCACCAAGUGAGCACCGUGUGCAGCGGUCAGGGUUCCCAGUUGCCAUCGGGAUCAGUAGGAUUCUGCCCAGCGAUGCCUCCAACUUUCCUUGAAAUUGAUCGGAGGUGAUAUUUCAAAGUCAGUGCAUAAGAGACAGAGAAAUGCCAUCGAGAGUUAGGCCUCACUUCACUUAGCUAGUCGGUGACAUGUGCAGUGUUGCUUUUGUAUUGUGGAUACCUGUUCGGUAGGAACUAGGCUGCCAACCCAUUUCACGUAGGCCGCCAGAUUCGAUGCCCAGCUGCUGUCAGCGGUAGGGACUGCCACCCACACAGCAUUCCUCUCUGCAUCUCAGAUGGAUGAAAGAGAGAGAGAGGUGCUGGGAAACAGCUGUAAAUGAACCUGUGGGUACGAAGGAGAAAUCAGAGCAGGAUGGAAGCACUGACGCAAUGUGACACAAUGAGAAAGGGAACUGAGAGGGCUCCAUGGCAUAGCAGCAUACCACAAAACGUGGUGUUUCCUUAAUAAGUGUGGCUCAGAA
Mauremys reevesii (Reeves's turtle) is the source of this 533-nucleotide long non-coding RNA. RefSeq lists it as uncharacterized. The transcript has 2 exons. The record is from RefSeq and is a predicted model, not a curated record. NCBI's taxonomy places the organism in Eukaryota, Metazoa, Chordata, Testudines, Geoemydidae.